Octopus sinensis (East Asian common octopus) is the source of this 224-nucleotide long non-coding RNA. RefSeq lists it as uncharacterized. The transcript has 4 exons. Lineage: Eukaryota; Metazoa; Mollusca; Cephalopoda; Octopoda; Octopodidae. The record is from RefSeq and is a predicted model, not a curated record.
GGUAGGUACCAUUAUGAUUGUUGUUGGUGACUUCCCUUGUUCGAAGGUUUAUGGAUGCAGAUUUGUGCAUCAUAUGGCUAGCUAGAGGCAAUCGCCUCUUGAAGCUAACCAAAAGCUACAUUCGUCCUAUUUCUCUGGACUGCCACGUUAGUCUGGCAAUAAAUAUUAAUACCCAGUACUGCUGCUGUAUCUCUCCUUCAGAGAGGUUUAGAAAUUAUAACAUU